RNAcentral lists this ribosomal RNA (449 nucleotides) under uncultured bacterium. RNAcentral's name for it is "SSU rRNA". It matches the Rfam family "Bacterial small subunit ribosomal RNA", at positions 26 to 518 of the family's 1533-position model. The record is from RNAcentral.
AGAGCGAACGCUGGCGGCAGGCUUAACACAUGCAAGUCGAGCGGGCGUAGCAAUACGUCAGCGGCAGACGGGUGAGUAACGCGUGGGAACAUACCUUUUGGUUCGGAACAACACAGGGAAACUUGUGCUAAUACCGGAUAAGCCCUUACGGGGAAAGAUUUAUCGCCGAAAGAUUGGCCCGCGUCUGAUUAGCUAGUUGGUGAGGUAACGGCUCACCAAGGCGACGAUCAGUAGCUGGUCUGAGAGGAUGAUCAGCCACAUUGGGACUGAGACACGGCCCAAAACUCCUACGGGAGGCAGCAGUGGGAAUAUUGGACAAUGGGCGCAAGCCUGAUCCAGCCAUGCCGCGUGAGUGAUGAAGGCCCUAGGGUUGUAAAGCUCUUUUGUGCGGGAAGAUAAUGACGGUACCGACAAGAAUAAGCCCCGGCUAACUUCGCGCCAGCAGCCGC